ACUCAAAGGAAUUGACGGGGGCCCGCACAAGCGGUGGAGCAUGUGGUUUAAUUCGACGCUACGCGAAGAACCUUACCUGGGCUCGAACGACUGGUGGUACCUUAUUUGAAAGGAUGAGGGACCCGCAAGGGAGCCAGCCGAGGUGCUGCAUGGUUGUCGUCAGCUCGUGUCGUGAGAUGUUGGGUUAAGUCCCGCAACGAGCGCAACCCCUGUCCUGUGUUGCUACCCGCAAGGGAGGACUCUCAGGAGACUGCCGCGGAUAACGUGGAGGAAGGUGGGGACGACGUCAAAUCAUCAUGGCCUUUAUGUCCAGGGCUACACACGUGCUACAAUGGCGUAUACAGAGGGAAGCAAGACCGCAAGGUGGAGCAAAUCCCUAAAGUACGCCCCAGUUCGGAUUGUGGGCUGCAAUUCGCCCACAUGAAGGUGGAAUCGCUAGUAAUCGCAGAUCAGCAGGCUGCGGUGAAUACGUUCCCGGGCCUUGUACACACCGCCCGU
RNAcentral lists this ribosomal RNA (498 nucleotides) under uncultured bacterium. RNAcentral describes it as "partial 16S ribosomal RNA". It matches the Rfam family "Bacterial small subunit ribosomal RNA", at positions 899 to 1397 of the family's 1533-position model. The record is from RNAcentral.